GAUGAACGCUAGCGGCAGGCCUAAUACAUGCAAGUCGAACGGUAAGUAAGGUAGCAAUACUUUACCAAGAGUGACGCACGGGUGCGUAACACGUAUGCAACCUACCCUUUACAGGCGGAUAGCUCGGGGAAACUCGAAUUAACCCGCCAUAAUAUAAUUGGAUGGCAUCAUUUGAUUAUUAAAUCUGCGGAGGUAAAGGAUGGGCAUGCGUCUGAUUAGUUAGUUGGUAGUGUAACGGACUACCAAGACGAUGAUCAGUAGGGGAACUGAGAGGUUGAUCCCCCACACUGGCACUGAGAUACGGGCCAGACUCCUACGGGAGGCAGCAGUAGGGAAUAUUGGUCAAUGGGUGAGAGCCUGAACCAGCCAUGCCGCGUGCAGGAAGAAGGCCUUCUGGGUUGUAAACUGCUUUUGCCAGGGGAUAAAAAUACCUUGCGAGGUAAAUUGAAGGUACCUGGUGAAUAAGCCACGGCUAACUACGUGCCAGCAGCCGCGGUAAUACGUAGGUGGCAAGCGUUGUCCGGAUUUAUUGGGUUUAAAGGGUGCGUAGGCGGCCCUGUAAGUCAGUGCUGAAAUAUCCCAGCUUAACUGGGAGGGUGGCAUUGAUACUGCGGGGCUAGAGUACAGAUGAGGUAGGCGGA
RNAcentral lists this ribosomal RNA (641 nucleotides) under uncultured Flexibacteraceae bacterium. RNAcentral describes it as "bacterial SSU rRNA". It matches the Rfam family "Bacterial small subunit ribosomal RNA", at positions 28 to 665 of the family's 1533-position model. The record is from RNAcentral. Lineage: Bacteria; Pseudomonadati; Bacteroidota; Cytophagia; Cytophagales; Cytophagaceae.